Non-coding RNA from Gossypium raimondii (Peruvian cotton), 129 nucleotides. The record is from Rfam. NCBI's taxonomy places the organism in Eukaryota, Viridiplantae, Streptophyta, Magnoliopsida, Malvales, Malvaceae.
UGUUAAAAAUUUCAUCCAAUUCUACUGUUAAAAACUAGUGUAGAACGAACUAGCCAAACAAUUACAUAUAUCUCAUGCUGAUGUACAAGGACCAGUUUUUAACAAUAAAAAUGGAUGAAAUUUUUAACA